This 117-nucleotide ribosomal RNA is filed under the name Clostridia bacterium OttesenSCG-928-F22. Lineage: Bacteria; Bacillati; Bacillota; Clostridia. The record is from RNAcentral.
UCCGGUGGCAAUGGCGAAGGGGAUCCACCUGUUCCCAUACCGAACACAGAAGUUAAGCCCUUCUGCGCCGAAGAUACUUGGCUGGAGACGGCCCGGGAAAAUAGGUCGCUGCCGGAU